UACGUAGGGAGCGAGCGUUAUCCGGAAUUAUUGGGUGUAAAGGGUGCGUAGACGGGUAAAUAAGUUAGUUGUGAAAUCCCUCGGCUCAACUGAGGUACUGCAACUAAAACUGUAUAUCUUGAGUGCGGGAGAGGAAAGUGGAAUUCCUAGUGUAGCGGUGAAAUGCGUAGAUAUUAGGAGGAACACCAGUGGCGAAGGCGACUUUCUGGACCGUAACUGACGUUGAGGCACGAAAGUGUGGGGAGCAAACAGG
RNAcentral lists this ribosomal RNA (253 nucleotides) under uncultured bacterium. Its description in RNAcentral is "partial 16S ribosomal RNA". It matches the Rfam family "Bacterial small subunit ribosomal RNA", at positions 524 to 776 of the family's 1533-position model. The record is from RNAcentral.